AACGCGAAGAACCUUACCAAGGUUUGACAUGCAGGGAAAAGCCGUAGAGAUAUGGUGUCCGUAAGGGUCCUGCACAGGUGGUGCAUGGCUGUCGUCAGCUCGUGUCGUGAGAUGUUGGGUUAAGUCCCGCAACGAGCGCAACCCUCGUCCUAUGUUGCCAGCGGGUAAUGCCGGGGACUCAUAGGAGACUGCCGGGGUCAACUCGGAGGAAGGUGGGGAUGACGUCAAGUCCUCAUGCCCCUUAUAUCUUGGGCUGCAAACAUGCUACAAUGGCCAGUACAGAGGGCUGCGAGACCGCAAGGUGGAGCGAAUCUCAAAAAGCUGGUCUCAGUUCGGAUUGGGGUCUGCAACUCGACCCCAUGAAGUCGGAGUCGCUAGUAAUCGCGAAUCAGCAACGUCGCGGUGAAUACGUUCCCGGGCCUUGUA
Molecule: ribosomal RNA, 426 nt
Filed under: uncultured Actinomycetes bacterium
Lineage: Bacteria; Bacillati; Actinomycetota; Actinomycetes
Description: bacterial SSU rRNA
Rfam family: Bacterial small subunit ribosomal RNA
Source: RNAcentral